GACGAACGCUGGCGGCGUGCUUAACACAUGCAAGUCGAACGGAAAGGCCCUGCUUUUGUGGGGUGCUCGAGUGGCGAACGGGUGAGUAACACGUGAGUAACCUGCCCUUGACUUUGGGAUAACUUCAGGAAACUGGGGCUAAUACCGGAUAGGAGCUCCUGCUGCAUGGUGGGGGUUGGAAAGUUUCGGCGGUUGGGGAUGGACUCGCGGCUUAUCAGCUUGUUGGUGGGGUAGUGGCUUACCAAGGCUUUGACGGGUAGCCGGCCUGAGAGGGUGACCGGCCACAUUGGGACUGAGAGACGGCCCAGACUCCUACGGGGGGCAGCAGGGGGGAAUAUUGCACAAUGGGCGGAAGCCUGAUGCAGCAACGCCGCGUGCGGGAUGACGGCCUUCGGGUUGUAAACCGCUUUCGCCUGUGACGAAGCGUGAGUGACGGUAAUGGGUAAAGAAGCACCGGCUAACUACGUG
Molecule: ribosomal RNA, 468 nt
Filed under: uncultured bacterium
Lineage: Bacteria
Description: partial 16S ribosomal RNA
Rfam family: Bacterial small subunit ribosomal RNA
Source: RNAcentral